This 408-nucleotide RNase P RNA is filed under the name Chlorobiaceae bacterium. Its description in RNAcentral is "RNase P RNA component class A". It matches the Rfam family "Bacterial RNase P class A". Rfam says of the family: Ribonuclease P (RNase P) is a ubiquitous endoribonuclease, found in archaea, bacteria and eukarya as well as chloroplasts and mitochondria. Its best characterised activity is the generation of mature 5'-ends of tRNAs by cleaving the 5'-leader elements of precursor-tRNAs. Cellular RNase Ps are ribonucleoproteins. Lineage: Bacteria; Pseudomonadati; Chlorobiota; Chlorobiia; Chlorobiales; Chlorobiaceae. The record is from RNAcentral.
AAACCGCAAGUGUGCAGUCGCUGUGUGGAUUCGUCCAUGCAGAGGAAAGUCCGAACUUCACAGGGCAGGGUGCCGGUCGAGAACCUCUGGUUCAAGCCCGGGGGCAGCGGUGCAAGCCGUCUGUCACAGAGAGUGCAACAGAAAGCGAACCGCCGUGGGCAACCGCGGUAAGGGUGAAAAGGCGGUGUAAGAGACCACCAGGUGUUCCAGUGAUGGGAUACGCUAUGAAAACCUCCCCGAAGCAAGGCCAAAUAUGGAAACUUUUCCCCUCGGGGAAGAAGAGCUGCCCGCUCAAUCCAUCAGGGAUUCCCUGAUGGGAGUUUUCGGGUAGGCCGCAUCAGAUAAAUGGCUGCAGUUUCACCACAUGAUGGUGAUUCACAGAAUUCGGCUUACAACUUCGGUUUCGGC